This is a long non-coding RNA of Alligator mississippiensis (American alligator), 2727 nucleotides long. RefSeq lists it as uncharacterized. The transcript has 3 exons. The record is from RefSeq and is a predicted model, not a curated record. NCBI's taxonomy places the organism in Eukaryota, Metazoa, Chordata, Crocodylia, Alligatoridae.
CAUUUGUUUGUUUUGUUUGCAGAAGCCCUGCAGGCUCUCUUCAAAGCCUCUGAAAGAUAAUAGUUGACCAGAAGGUGAAACCUGGGAAAAGCUGCAUGAAGUCUGCAAAGAGCUAAGUAGCAGUUGAUUUGUUUAACUUCAUUUGCUUCUUUCACAUUUCUUACAAGCCCUAGGUGGCCUCCUGGUGUUAUCUACUAGCUCUGCCCUAAACAGUGGGUCCUUAGCCAAAGCCAGCAGCCAAAGUAAAAGUGGCCAGCUCUGCUGACAUGACCACAUGCCUGUCUGUGAUCUGCCCAAAAGCUACCCAUAACAGCAGGGAUGUAGGUUGUAGCCGUGUUGGUCUAAGGACAUAGGCAGACAAGGUUCCUUGGGUGAAUCUGAUAUCUUUUAUUAGACCAACCCAAAUAGAGCACACACUAACUGCUGAAACUUCCUUAGCCUGAUGAAGGGUUUUUGAACCCAAAAGCUUGCUUAAUAACUAUUCUCCAACUAUUUGGGUUGGUCUAAUAAAAGAUAUCAGAUUCACUCAAGGAACCUUGUCUACCCAUAACAGCAUACGUUUACAUCAUUUUGGGGCAAUACAAAUGGACACAAUGGAACAUACCAAAUGAUGAUCCAUCCAGCAAUCAUCUGUGCUAGUCAUGGCUCUGGUGAUUAUGGAUAUUGCAACUGUUCUAGGCAUGCACAAUGAUGUAAUCAAGUGCCAGUGUUUUGAGUGGGGGUGCAUCCAUGAUGUCUUCCUUCUUUCCUUUUGGUGGAAAAGGAGUUCAUGAUGGUGAGGUUAUAUUCUGCAUGCUUGCUCAGGAGAAUUCUAUUUGAAUUGACUUUCCCCACCCCUUCCUUUCCAAGUGUUCCUUUCCACAGCUUAGAGUCCCUGCCCACUCUGGCUAGGGACAGGCAUUCAAAAAGUCUGAGCCUGAAUUGAUUCAAUCUUUGCAGGUUAGUCUAACCUGGGUAGGCUGAACCAGUUUGUAACUGGACAGACAUUCUGUCUGAAAUUUAGGCACAUGCCUGUAGUGGCUCAGGCUAGAAGCCAGGGGAUGCUAGAGAGCCUUCUCUUCCCUUACACAGAGCUGAACUGAGCGGGGCAUGGCCAGGCCCAGGCCCAGGCAGGAUGCUCUGAUUAGGGAGGUCUGCCUGCAGCAUCCCAGGCUUUUACCUGCUGGCUGCUCAAGGGGCAGCAGUGUUGCCAGCCCCCAGCCCCCUGCUAGCACUCUGAGGCAGGGUGUGUGUGCAGUGUAUGCAUCUGUUGAUGAAAUGGAGCUUUUCAAUCUCCCUCUCCCCUGCUUCUUUAUACUGUCUGCAGCAAACUAACAGGUGAGCAAGCUAGCAGGGAGCUGAUAAGUGUUUAUCACCCCAUCAGCAAAACAAUACCCUCUCUCCAUUAAUUCAAACUCUUCUUAAACAGCUUACUGACUGACCUGUUGAUUAGCUCCCAGAAGUCCUAAGGGGUCACUGUUCUGUCUGCCUGUCCCACUAAAAUUGAAGAUGCACAGAGACAUCUCUCAGCAUUAGCUAGCAUACUACAUGCCUAUGGUCCAUGGGGCUAGGGUCUGUGCUGUGGGAGAUAGGAGGGAGGGAGUGGAUCCCUGCUUGUCCAGCAAGCAGUGAGGUGGGGUAGGACAGGGGGAAGCCUAGCAGACCCUGCUGUACCUGCAGUCUCUACCAGAGCUCCAGCCAGGGAGCAGAGGGGGGGGGCCAGCCCUGCUGUGGAGCAGAGAGUCCCCCCCAACCCAGAAAACAUGCCAGGAUGCUGUGGGAGUCUGGUUUAUGUUAAAACAGCAAGGGGUCUGGGACAGACAUUGCCUAAACUGGUUUGAGCUAAAUCAGUUAAGUCUCAUACUACAUUGAACCAGGUUUCUCUCAAACCGGUUUCAGCCAUUUUCAAACUGGUUUAUGUGCACUGAACAUCUGUUCUGUUACAGGUUUAAACUAGUUUCUGAUCACUUAAACAGGUUUAUGUGUAGUGUCUGUCCCUAGCCCCUAGCACUGAAAUUGCCAAGAAUUGUCUUAUUUUCUUUGAAGACAGAUGACAGGACUUGAUUGAGUUUAGAAUAACAUUCUUCUUUUGUUUCAUCGUCUGCAUCUAGGGCUAGGGUAUAUGCACUGAUGACUGUUGCAUGUUGUCUGCUGGUCAGUUGUAGACAAAGGAUCAUGAGAUGAAGGAUCCAGUGAAGCCCAUAGUGGCGGAACCGUAACAGCACAUCACAAUAGGUCCCCACUCCCCAUGUAUUUGGAAGAACUUUGGAGCUUAAUUACUAAAUAGCUAGCUUGUGACUGGGCAUUGUCACUCUCCAGGUCAGUGUGCAGCAAGAGAUCCAUAUUCCCUCCACUGUGGUGAAAGGUAAGAACAACUUGAGGUAAGAGGAAAUGAAGUUUAGAGGAGAACCAGAGGAUAUGUGACAGCAAGAGACAACAGCCUGGAAGUUGUUGCAGAUGCCAGCUUGAUGGAGACUAGCCACAGCAACGAGGUUGCGGCCAGCAAGCAACCAAAUAGCGUAGAAAGGGAAGCAACACUGCAGUAUAUUAGUCUUCUGAAGUUCAGUGCUUCCAAGCUCUAGGUUGAGAACUUUGGGGGCUUUUUUCUUUGCUUGUUGUUUUUGCCUAACAAUUUAAAAAAAAUGUUGAGGCCAGGACAUUUGGGCCUUUAAUUUUUGGUAACCUUAGUAAAGAAACAUCCUACAUGUGAAAGCAUUUCCUGGGAAACUAAUAAAGUCUUGAAUCUAA